This 465-nucleotide ribosomal RNA is filed under the name uncultured bacterium. Its description in RNAcentral is "partial 16S ribosomal RNA". It matches the Rfam family "Bacterial small subunit ribosomal RNA", at positions 338 to 795 of the family's 1533-position model. The record is from RNAcentral.
CCUACGGGAGGCAGCAGUAGGGAAUCUUCCACAAUGGGCGAAAGCCUGAUGCAGCAAUGCCGCGUGGGUGAAGAAGGUCUUCGGAUCGUAAAGCACUUUUGGUAGAGAGGAAAGUACUUGAGUUUAACUGUUUGCGCAUCGACGGUAUCUAACCAGAAAGCCACGGCUAACUACGUGCCAGCAGCCGCGGUAAUACGUAGGUGGCAAGCGUUAUCCGGAUUUAUUGGGCGUAAAGGGAACGCAGGCGGUCUUUUAAGUCAGAUGUGAAAGCCUCGGGCUUAACCGGAGUAGUGCAUUGGAAACUGGGAGACUUGAGUGUAGAAGAGGAGAGUAGAACUCCAGGUGUAGCGGUGAAAUGCGUAGAUAUAUGGAAGAACACCAGUGGCGAAGGCGGCCCUCUGGUCUGUAACUGACGCUGAGGUGCGAAAGCGUGGGUAGCAAACAGGAUUAGAUACCCCUGUAGUC